GCCGCCCCCGCGACCCGCGCCCGGCCACUCCCGGGGCUUCUGGGCUCAGAGGCAGCCGAUGUGAAGGGAUGCUGCAUCAGGUUUUCAUGAGCAGUCUGCAGUGAGAACCAAGCUCACUCGGAGCACUUGGAACACUUGGGGUCUGGCCUCAGCACCGAAGGCCUGUGGGUACGGGGGUUCCGGAGGACCUGCUGCUUAUUCGAGGAUGGCCUUUGCAGACCGUCUGAGACCUGUGUAGAUGUGACCUGGAACCAAACUCACAAUAUCUCCAAGAACCAUUUGGAGCAUUUCUCUGGGGGAAGAUGAACUGAAAGUGCCAAUUACAGAGUUUUCUACACUGUCCAGGACCCCUGGCCUUCCUACCAUUGAUCUGAAAGUUUAAUCAACCGUUUGAUGAAUGAGCAGAUUCCAUGUAUGGAGUCCCGCAGUGUGCUGUGCCUCUCUGUCUGGGUUCUGGGUUUGCUGUGAUGAAUGGCCAGCUGUGAAUGGGUGAUGCUGCCAGCUCUGCGCAGACGGGCUAGAUUUUCUGAGCCUACGACUGUCCCCAUGUUUGAGGAAUGCACUUUGCAGUUUAUGAAGCAACCACUACACAGAGUUGGGAAAUCUUUCCUCCUCCUUUCCAGAAUCCACUCCAUGGUGGUUGCAUUGGAGGAGACUGGAAGUUGGCAUUGGGGUCAGGAGCCGUUAACAUUUUCAGCCGUGACCAAGAGACCAGAGAUGGCGUCUCAUCUGAAGGAAAGUGCGCAGGAGACACAGAACUAACUUCCCUUAAGGCCCUUUCACCUUGUUCUUCAAGCACUUCUUCAAAGUCCUAAUUUCUAAAACUCAAGAGAAGGUGUAAAAAUCCAUCUAUGCAGACUCAGAGGAGAAUUGGAACACUUCCAGAUGGAAGAAAUUCAGUCACAGACACGUGAAGUUUUGACCUUGCUGUGAGAAUUCAGGAUGUGAAUAAAACACUCCAGAGGAUUAAAAACAUGAUUUUUCCUGUUUUUAUCGUAAUUCCCUGGGAGACUAGAUUUAACACCUUGGAGAAGGGAGGUUCUAGAGUGGAUGCCAUCGUGAUGUAAUAACUGCGGUGCUGCUCGCUGGCUCCCCCUGCC
RNAcentral lists this long non-coding RNA (1100 nucleotides) under Equus asinus (donkey). Its description in RNAcentral is "lncRNA (ENSEASG00005027315.1)". The record is from RNAcentral. Lineage: Eukaryota; Metazoa; Chordata; Mammalia; Perissodactyla; Equidae.